Molecule: transfer RNA, 86 nt
Filed under: Candidatus Caldarchaeum subterraneum
Lineage: Archaea; Thermoproteati; Nitrososphaerota; Candidatus Caldarchaeales; Candidatus Caldarchaeaceae
Also listed under: 1 other name
Description: Candidatus Caldiarchaeum subterraneum (hot springs metagenome) tRNA-His
Rfam family: tRNA
About the family: Transfer RNA (tRNA) molecules are approximately 80 nucleotides in length. Their secondary structure includes four short double-helical elements and three loops (D, anti-codon, and T loops). Further hydrogen bonds mediate the characteristic L-shaped molecular structure. tRNAs have two regions of fundamental functional importance: the anti-codon, which is responsible for specific mRNA codon recognition, and the 3' end, to which the tRNAs corresponding amino acid is attached (by aminoacyl-tRNA synthetases). tRNAs cope with the degeneracy of the genetic code in two manners: having more than one tRNA (with a specific anti-codon) for a particular amino acid; and 'wobble' base-pairing, i.e. permitting non-standard base-pairing at the 3rd anti-codon position.
Source: RNAcentral
GCCGAGGUGGGGUAGCCUGGUUACGUGUCCAGAAAGCCCUCAGGGCUGUGGACCCUGCAGCGCGAGUUCGAAUCUCGCCCUCGGCC